This 497-nucleotide ribosomal RNA is filed under the name uncultured bacterium. RNAcentral describes it as "partial 16S ribosomal RNA". It matches the Rfam family "Bacterial small subunit ribosomal RNA", at positions 28 to 507 of the family's 1533-position model. The record is from RNAcentral.
GAUGAACGCUGGCGGCGUGCCUAAUACAUGCAAGUCGAGCGAACAGACGAGGAGCUUGCUCCUCUGACGUUAGCGGCGGACGGGUGAGUAACACGUGGAUAACCUACCUAUAAGACUGGGAUAACUUCGGGAAACCGGAGCUAAUACCGGAUAAUCUAUUGAACCGCAUGGUUCAAUAGUGAAAGACGGUUUUGCUGUCACUUAUAGAUGGAUCAGCGCCGCAUUAGCUAGUUGGUAAGGUAACGGCUUACCAAGGCAACGAUGCGUAGCCGACCUGAGAGGGUGAACGGCCACACUGGAACUGAGACACGGUCCUGACUCCGACGGGAGGCAGCAGUAGGGAAUCUUCCGCAAUGGGCGAAAGCCUGACGGAGCAACGCCGCGUGAGUGAUGAAGGUCUUCGGAUCGUAAAACUCUGUUAGUAGGGAAGAACAAAUGUGUAAGUAACUAUGCACGUCUUGACGGUACCUAAUCAGAAAGCCACGGCUAACUACGUG